GUUAAAACAGUUAUCUCUUAUAGCCAUUAUCCUUAUGGCAUUGAUGGUUAUAACGGCUACAUAUAUUGGUCACAGUCGAGAAAUGGCAUCAUCAAACGAGCCGAUAAAUCUGGAGGAAGUAGCAGUAGCUAGUCAUAUACUAGACCUUAUGGUGUAGUAGGCGUAAAGGUUUAUGAUGGAGGAAAUGUUUUCCCGACUGAACAUGUGUGCACUACCGAAUGCUUAUCGAGUGUCAUUUUUCAAACAACAACUCAAGAUGAAGAAAAUGUUUCCCCGACUGAUCAUGUGCGCACUACCGAAGGCUUAUCGGGUGUAAUGACAAUUUUCCAAACAAUUCAAGAUGACAAGAAAUCAAUUUUGGCAAUAGCAUUAGUUAUAGUUUUACUAGUCUUCAGUAUUGUGGUCAUUGGAUUAAUGUAUAGCAAAGUCAAAUCGAACAAUACAAGAAUAGAGAAUGGAAACAGGGAAUAUGACCAAGAGAAAACUAAUCGACCAAAGCGCAUCUUUAGGCCAAAAAUUGAUGUUACUCGAGAUCGGCGUGAAAGAAACCAGCAUGACGACCAAAGAAUAGAAAGGCAGGUUUGGAUGACAAGAGAUAGAAUUCGUGGUGACCUUCAAAUUUACUUCCUUGACUUCUAAAUUGUUCUAAGGUUCAUCAGAAUGAUUUGACAAAACGACUGAUUAUUUUAACCUCAAAAUUAAAUCUGAAUACAACCAAACCCAUGUACAUAUAGAAGAGUUUUAGUGGAAGACAGUAACUAGAUUAAUAUAAUAAUAUUUGAAAAUAUAAUAAAAACUUUAGUAAUAAAAUGUUUACAUAUAUCAUAACAAAAAAUGUAGGUAUGUACAAAAAGGACAUGGCUAAACAAAAUCACGUGAAACGAAUAAACGGAUAGAAUGAGUAAUUGGAAACAUACACAAAUCCAUAUCCAUAAAGUUUGAAGCUGGAAUAACAACAAUAUUACUGGAAUACAUUUUAACUGUUUUCACGAUACAUAAACAAUGCAUUAUGAUUCAGAUUGAUUUUGUUACAGAUUGAUGAAUGCUGGUUUUUAAAAUGUCCGCUAGUUAUUAUCAUGUGCUAAUUUAAGAAAAAAAGAAAAGCACUAUUCUGCACUUGGACACAUGUAUGACAGUAAUAAUUUGACAAACAUGUCGUAUCUUUGGUAAAAUUUUAAAUAGAAAAGAUAAAAUUUUCAAAAGUUUGCAGGGAAGGUAAUUUGUUUAAACUAGAUUCCUAAAUGCAUUAAUGUUCUUAAAUGACAAAUUAAAAAAAUAAUAUUGCUUUAACUAAAUAUUACACAAAAUUUAAAGUUUUAACGCACAUUUUUAUUUUAUAAAAGAAAGCAUUAAUUGACAGAUGAUAAAUCGUCACCUUCUUUCAGUAAACUGAAUAUUUCAUAUCUAAAAUUAACCAUUUUGAUAAAUGUAGUUUUCACCAUUAAAUGAUAUGGAUGCUUACAAUUGUUUUUCUUAAAAUAAAGUAUUUAAACAAUUUCUUUAGUAGCAUUAUAACAUUGUUUGAUUUCAUUUAAUAUACCAGCUUCCUGUGUAUCUUUCAGGUAGAAAAAAACUAAGUUAUAUGACUCAAUCCUAUUCAAAUGCAACCAACAAAUUAUCUCAAACAAAAUCAAUUUUGCCUCGAGUUUAGUUUGCCCAUAUUAUUUGCUUUUUUUUCUAAAUAUUGAUACUUUUGUAGUGAUGUAUUAAUCAAAUAAUUUCUACAUUCUUUGAGUAGCCUUAAUUGUUUUUGUGUUGUUUUUUCUCUCACUUAUCUGUUAAAGUUAUAUAAUACUUCAAAUUAAAAAAAAACAGUUGA
This is a long non-coding RNA of Mytilus californianus (California mussel), 1819 nucleotides long. RefSeq lists it as uncharacterized. Lineage: Eukaryota; Metazoa; Mollusca; Bivalvia; Mytilida; Mytilidae. The transcript is spliced from 6 exons. The record is from RefSeq and is a predicted model, not a curated record.